This 73-nucleotide transfer RNA is filed under the name Pteropus alecto (black flying fox). It matches the Rfam family "tRNA". From Rfam's summary of the family: Transfer RNA (tRNA) molecules are approximately 80 nucleotides in length. Lineage: Eukaryota; Metazoa; Chordata; Mammalia; Chiroptera; Pteropodidae. The record is from Rfam by way of RNAcentral.
GGUUCCAUAGUGUAGCGGUCGGCACGUCUGCUUUACACGCAGAAGAUCCUGGGUUCACACCCCAGUGGAGCCA